Molecule: long non-coding RNA, 1376 nt
Organism: Anolis carolinensis (green anole)
Lineage: Eukaryota; Metazoa; Chordata; Lepidosauria; Squamata; Anolidae
Exons: 2
Source: RefSeq, a predicted model, not a curated record
UAAGCAUUUACUUUUCCAUUAGAAAAGGAGGCAAGAAGACAAGGUAACUUGAUAUAUAAAUGUGCACUGUGACCAGGGUGGUAACUGGGCAAGGCCUGUAGGGCUGAAAAGCUUACAUUUGGCACCGCACAAGUGAAUACAGAUUUAAUUUAAUGGGAUUGUGAGAAGGGGGAAGUAUGAAAAUCAGCAGAAGGGAAGGACACAUAAAUGCUCUUAAACAGGAGAGGAAAAUGAAGCUAGCAAAAUAAUCUACUAAAGCCUGAGGGUCAAACAAGCACAAGACAUCAACACGAGAACAGAUUUGUGCUUCUGGCCCCAAGCCAGCCAGCAAAUGAAUUUCUAAUGGCAGCGAAAUCUUUUCAUUCCAUGCAAGGUAGGAUCCUUGGCUACAUUAAUCAUCAACAGUGUCUUCACAGCAAAUCCAUGGUCCUGUAAAAUAACUAGAGCUGAACCGAGCACCUAGACCUCUUGGCAAGAAAAAAAAUCAAAUGGCGCAAUAUCACAGCAAGUGGAAAUGGAGAUGGAGAAUGUCAGCAAUAACAUACCGGGGGGAGACAAGGCAUGGAAGAGAUUUGAAGAUACCUGCAUUUCCCUAGGCACUCUCUCCUUUCCGUCUCCUCUGUUGGAGUGCUGGACCUGCCUGCAGUCACCAGGAGGCGCCGUGCUGUGAGGCGCAGAAGCUGUGCCCAUUUGCCCCCAGCUGCCAACUACAAAGGGGGGCCCAAGCUGCAGCCAAGAAAAGGCAGCCAAAUGGGAGUACUGCAUCACAGCCUCCAUCAUCCCCAGCCCUCACCACCUCCACCUUCAUGCUCCAUUUCCCAUGACUCCAGACCAAGGGACAUCUGUUUCAACACCAUGGGAUCACCCACCACUGACUGAACCUCAGCUUUCACCUCUUCAAGCUCCUGCCCUCCAACAAAAAGGCACAAUCUGAUCUACCAAGGCAGAGGCCCUGCAUGCAGUGAAAUGUCGGGGCUUUGGGAAAUGUUCAUAGCCAUUUCAAAGCCCCGAAAGGGGGGAAAAUGUGAUCGAGGUGACCUCCCCUCCAGGACUUUGUAAAAGAUAGUUCAAAAAUCAAGACUUUAUGUUCUAUAUUCCAUAUAUUUAUAGUAGAAGGUGAUUGAGACUUUUUACUGGAGUUUACUGUGGAUUAUCCCUGCAUUCUGAGGCAAGAGAUAACAACUUCAUGAAUUGUAAAAUCAUGCUGCUAAAACUCCACUUCUAUGACUUUCCAUAUUGGGUUCCCCAGAUGUUGUAAACCUCGUUCUUAUCAAAUGUUUUCAAUUGUUUAUAUCAUCCAUGAUUCCCCUUUAUGCAAUGUCACCCACCUUUAUGGAUUCUCCUUUAUUUCCUUGAAAUCUAUCUAUCUGCCUAUA